RNAcentral lists this ribosomal RNA (274 nucleotides) under uncultured bacterium. Its description in RNAcentral is "partial 16S ribosomal RNA". It matches the Rfam family "Bacterial small subunit ribosomal RNA", at positions 523 to 796 of the family's 1533-position model. The record is from RNAcentral.
AUACGGAGGGUGCAAGCGUUAUCCGGAAUCAUUGGGUUUAAAGGGUCCGUAGGCGGACUAUUAAGUCAGAGGUGAAAUCCCACAGCUCAACUGUGGAACUGCCUUUGAUACUGGUAGUCUUGAGUUAUAUGGAAGUAGAUAGAAUGUGUAGUGUAGCGGUGAAAUGCAUAGAUAUUACACAGAAUACCGAUUGCGAAGGCAGUCUACUACGUAUAUACUGACGCUAAGGGACGAAAGCGUGGGGAGCGAACAGGAUUAGAAACCCUGGUAGUCC